This 69-nucleotide transfer RNA is filed under the name Leiochrinini sp. 2 ACP-2013. RNAcentral describes it as "tRNA-Gln". It matches the Rfam family "tRNA". From Rfam's summary of the family: Transfer RNA (tRNA) molecules are approximately 80 nucleotides in length. Lineage: Eukaryota; Metazoa; Arthropoda; Insecta; Coleoptera; Tenebrionidae. The record is from RNAcentral.
GUGUAUUAGUAUAAGAUGUACAUAAGCUUUUGAUGCUUUAGGGAUUAGUUUAAUUCUAAUAUACACAAU